UUCCGGUUGAUCCCGCCGGACCUGACUGCUAUCGGAUUGAUACUAAGCCAUGCGAGUCAUUGUAGCAAUACAAGGCAGACGGCUCAGUAACGCGUAGUCAACCUAACCUAUGGAUGGGAAUAACCUCGGGAAACUGAGAAUAAUGCCCAAUAGAACACUAUACCUGGAAUGGUUUGUGUUCCAAAUGAUUUAUCGCCGUAGGAUGGGACUGCGGCCUAUCAGUUUGUUGGUGAGGUAAUGGCCCACCAAGACUAUUACAGGUACGGGCUCUGAGAGGAGUAGCCCGGAGAUGGGUACUGAGACACGGACCCAGGCCCUAUGGGGCGCAGCAGGCGAGAAAACUUUGCAAUGUGCGAAAGCACGACAAGGUUAAUCCGAGUGAUUUGUGCUAAACGAAUCUUUUGUUAGUCCUAGAAACACUAACGAAUAAGGGGUGGGCAAGUUCUGGUGUCAGCCGCCGCGGUAAAACCAGCACCUCAAGUGGUCAGGAUGAUUAUUGGGCCUAAAGCAUCCGUAGCCGGCUCUGUAAGUUUUCGGUAAAUCUGUAUGCUCAACAUACAGGCUGCCGGGAAUACUGCAGAGCUAGGGAGUGGGAGAGGUAGACGGUACUCGGUAGGAAGGGGUAAAAUCCUUUGAUCUAUUGAUGACCACCUGUGGCGAAGGCGGUCUACCAGAACACGUCCGACGGUGAGGGAUGAAAGCUGGGGGAGCAAACCGGAUUAGAUACCCGGGUAGUCCCAGCUGUAAUCUAUGCAAACUCAGUGAUGCAUUGGCUUGUGGCCAAUGCAGUGCUGCAGGGAAGCCGUUAAGUUUGCCGCCUGG
RNAcentral lists this ribosomal RNA (822 nucleotides) under uncultured archaeon. Its description in RNAcentral is "bacterial SSU rRNA". It matches the Rfam family "Archaeal small subunit ribosomal RNA", at positions 1 to 831 of the family's 1478-position model. The record is from RNAcentral.